Coccinella septempunctata (seven-spotted ladybird) is the source of this 1284-nucleotide long non-coding RNA. RefSeq lists it as uncharacterized. Lineage: Eukaryota; Metazoa; Arthropoda; Insecta; Coleoptera; Coccinellidae. The record is from RefSeq and is a predicted model, not a curated record. The transcript is spliced from 3 exons.
AAAAUUUGGUCACAAACUCUUGAGGCAUAAUAAAGAUUUCAAAUACGCGAUUGAUAUUGAGUGGUUCCACUGACAUUGUGCCCAAUUAAAAGAGCCUUAAGAAGAUAAGAAGGCCCAUCGGCAAAAUAGGAAGCACUAUGAGAUAUCGGAUAUCAUAAAAUUACCGAGUGCAAAAUUCAGUGAUUUUCAUAUGACCGGAUUCCGAAAUAAAAAGAAAAGACUAUUUUAAGGGUAGAAACUCAGUGCUGUAACUCCGAAAAAGAAGGCCCCUGGCAGAAUCAAAAAUAGUAGUCAGAGACAAACGAGACGGUUAACUUGGCAGUGAAAUCUGUCCCAUUUUAAGGAACUCGUGCAUCUCUCUCUUUCUUGUAUUAGCUUCCAUAAGUCUCUCUUCGUUUAAUUAUGGGAAAGCAUUUGUAGAGGUCGCCCCAGUAGGAAACAUUUCCUAGUUGUUACAUGCGUCAUUUGACAAUUUUGACAUGACAGCUUUUAGGUUGUGUUUAUGUUUACAUGUGUAAUAAUUCGCAUAAUUUGCAAUUCUUUUCUGUUUAUUGCAAGUUUCGAGGUUGACUUAGUUAUCAACCAAAGUUCUGGAGUUAUUUUGACAAUUUGAAGACGAUCUUCUAAGACAGCAAAAUGCCAAGCUUGCUUUGUUUACUUUGUGUUGGUGAUGAGGCAAAUGUUCAAAAAUUGCAUAAUUUUCCCUGUAAUCUAGCAAGAUCUAAGGAAUGGCAAGAAAUACUAUGAAUGGAUUCAAGGGUGAAUCUCUGCAUUCAUUCAAGAUCUGCAAUAAGCAUUUUUCACCAGACUCAUAUAUGGAUCUAAACAGAUUUAAGCUUCACAGAUCCGCAGUUCCUAUUCCUUGGCAAACCUCCGCAAGAACUAUUAAGACACAUAAAGUAAAUAUGGAAUUUCAUCUGUAGAAUCUGAAAAAGAAAUUAUGACUGAAGUGACUGAGGCAGCUUUGAAUGAUCCAAGCCCUAGCUCAAAAACCCCACAUUUGGCCACACCGAGUAUCAAGGAAGAAAAUAUUCAGAAAUUUUGACGAACUUUCAAUAAUGGACAGUACACCAAGAAAAAAGCAAUUGAUAAAAAUCAUUCAUAGAAGGAAGAAUAAUCCUAGGAAGAUUAAAACCUUGUGUAGGGAAAAUCCCAAGAUUCAAAAGCUCUCACAAAUGUGUGUGAAACUAGUGUAGUAUGUAAAAUUGUGAAAUUAAUGAAAUUAGAAAAAAGAAAAGACAGUGAAAAGAAAAAUAAAUAUAAUUCAACAUUGAAAAAUUUCGA